Molecule: ribosomal RNA, 498 nt
Filed under: uncultured bacterium
Lineage: Bacteria
Description: bacterial SSU rRNA
Rfam family: Bacterial small subunit ribosomal RNA
Source: RNAcentral
AAAUGAAUUGACGGGGGCCCGCACAAGCGGUGGAGUAUGUGGUUUAAUUCGAAGCAACGCGCAAAACCUUACCAGCCCUUGACAUGGUGAUUAAGGAGAUGAGAGAUCAUUUCUGUCGGUUCGGCCGGAUCACACACAGGUGCUGCAUGGCUGUCGUCAGCUCGUGUCGUGAGAUGUUGGGUUAAGUCCCGCAACGAGCGCAACCCUCAUCGUUAGUUGCUAACAGGUAUGGCUGAGCACUCUAGCGAAACUGCCGGUGACAAACCGGAGGAAGGUGGGGAUGACGUCAAGUCCUCAUGGCCCUUAUGGGCUGGGCUACACACGUACUACAAUGGUGGUGACAGUAGGUUGCGAAAGGGAAACCUGGAGCCAAUCCUCAAAAGCCAUCUCAGUUCAGAUUGUCCGCUGCAACUCGCGGACAUGAAGUCGGAAUCGCUAGUAAUCGUAGAUCAGCAUGCUACGGUGAAUACGUUCUCGGGCCUUGUACACACCGCCCGU